RNAcentral lists this unclassified non-coding RNA (215 nucleotides) under Hevea brasiliensis (rubber tree). Lineage: Eukaryota; Viridiplantae; Streptophyta; Magnoliopsida; Malpighiales; Euphorbiaceae. The record is from RNAcentral.
AAGCGAAUGGGAAGAGGAUGGGGUGUGUUUCGCAGGGAAAGCAAGCUGAGAGUUGGAGAUGUGGUUGUGUUUGAGCUUGUCAAGAGGAGUAAGAACAGGGUGAUGAAGUUCACUGUGUUUUCUUCAGCUGCAAUUUGAAACAAAGUGACUGAAAUUUGUGGUUUUGGCUGUAAAUACUUUAAAAUGUAUGGUCUGAUUUUGGAAGCUUACUUUGG